RNAcentral lists this microRNA (21 nucleotides) under Marchantia polymorpha subsp. ruderalis. Lineage: Eukaryota; Viridiplantae; Streptophyta; Marchantiopsida; Marchantiales; Marchantiaceae. The record is from RNAcentral.
UAUAGAAUCUCCUGGGGCAUC